AACGAACGCUGGCGGCGUGCCUAACACAUGCAAGUCGAACGCGAAAGGGGGCAACCCUGAGUAAAGUGGCGCACGGGUGAGUAAUAUAUAGGAACGUACCUACUGGUGGGGAACAACCGCGGGAAACCGCGGCUAAUACCGCAUACGAUCGCAAGAUGAAAGAGGGCCUCUACUUGUAAGCGCUCGCCGGUAGAUCGGCUUAUAUCCCAUUAGCUAGUUGGUGAGGUAAAGGCUCACCAAGGCAACGAUGGGUAGCUGGUCUGAGAGGAUGGCCAGCCACACUGGAACUGAGACACGGUCCAGACUCCUACGGGAGGCAGCAGUGGGGAAUAUUGCACAAUGGGCGCAAGCCUGAUGCAGCAACGCCGCGUGGGUGAUGAAGGUUCUUGGAUUGUAAAGCCCUUUCGGCUAGGAAGAAGGGCUCUGUAGUUAAUACCUGCAGAGUUUGACGGUACUAGAAGAAGAAGCACCGGCUAACUCCGUGCCAGCCGCCGCUGUAA
RNAcentral lists this ribosomal RNA (500 nucleotides) under uncultured bacterium. RNAcentral's name for it is "partial 16S ribosomal RNA". It matches the Rfam family "Bacterial small subunit ribosomal RNA", at positions 29 to 523 of the family's 1533-position model. The record is from RNAcentral.